CAGCAGCCGCGGGAAUACGUAGGGUGCGAGCGUUAAUCGGAAUUACUGGGCGUAAAGCGAGCGCAGACGGUUAUUUAGGCAAGAUGUGAAAUCCCCGGGCUUAACCUGGGAGCUGCGUUCUGAACUGGAUAGCUAGAGUGUGUCAGAGGGGGGUAGAAUUCCACGUGUAGCAGUGAAAUGCGUAGAGAUGUGGAAGAAUACCGAUGGCGAAGGCAGCCCCCUGGGAUAACACUGACGUUCAUGCUCGAAAGCGUGGGUAGCAAACAGGAUUAGAUACCCCUGUAGUCCCUGUCUCUUAUAA
This 301-nucleotide ribosomal RNA is filed under the name uncultured bacterium. RNAcentral's name for it is "partial 16S ribosomal RNA". It matches the Rfam family "Bacterial small subunit ribosomal RNA", at positions 509 to 809 of the family's 1533-position model. The record is from RNAcentral.